This 752-nucleotide ribosomal RNA is filed under the name uncultured Pseudomonas sp. Its description in RNAcentral is "bacterial SSU rRNA". It matches the Rfam family "Bacterial small subunit ribosomal RNA", at positions 28 to 776 of the family's 1533-position model. The record is from RNAcentral. Lineage: Bacteria; Pseudomonadati; Pseudomonadota; Gammaproteobacteria; Pseudomonadales; Pseudomonadaceae.
AUUGAACGCGGGCGGCAGGCCUAACACAUGCAAGUCGAGCGGUAGAGAGAAGCUUGCUUCUCUUGAGAGCGGCGGACGGGUGAGUAAUGCCUAGGAAUCUGCCUGGUAGUGGGGGAUAACGUUCGGGAACGGACGCUAAUACCGCAUACGUCCUACGGGAGAAAGCAGGGGACCUUCGGGCCUUGCGCUAUCAGAUGAGCCUAGGUCGGAUUAGCUAGUUGGUGAGGUAAUGGCUCACCAAGGCGACGAUCCGUAACUGGUCUGAGAGGAUGAUCAGUCACACUGGAACUGAGACACGGUCCAGACUCCUGCGGGAGGCAGCAGUGGGGAAUAUUGGACAAUGGGCGAAAGCCUGAUCAGCCAUGCCGCGUGUGUGAAGAAGGUCUUCGGAUUGUAAAGCACUUUAAGUUGGGAGGAAGGGUUGUAGAUUAAUACUCUGCAAUUUUGACGUUACCGACAGAAUAAGCACCGGCUAACUCUGUGCCAGCAGCCGCGGUAAUACAGAGGGUGCAAGCGUUAAUCGGAAUUACUGGGCGUAAAGCGCGCGUAGGUGGUUUGUUAAGUUGGAUGUGAAAUCCCCGGGCUCAACCUGGGAACUGCAUUCAAAACUGACUGACUAGAGUAUGGUAGAGGGUGGUGGAAUUUCCUGUGUAGCGGUGAAAUGCGUAGAUAUAGGAAGGAACACCAGUGGCGAAGGCGACCACCUGGACUAAUACUGACACUGAGGUGCGAAAGCGUGGGGAGCAAACAGG